AACGCACGAGACCUGCGGACCUGCGGAAGGAUCAUUAACGUAUAUCUCUGACGGGGUGCGGUGCGCCCUGCUCCGGCCGAUCUGCGCCGUGAAGCGGGUGCGCCGCCCCCGUCCACACCUCACAAACCCACUGUGAACAUUCCUGGCGGAUGGGGGCUCGGUCUGUGCCGUGUUCCCCCUGAGGCCACACACACCCAAACUCCAGUUGCAAAGAAUGUCGUGCGGACUCUGUGCCGCCUA
RNAcentral lists this unclassified non-coding RNA (240 nucleotides) under soil metagenome. RNAcentral's name for it is "partial contains 5.8S ribosomal RNA, internal transcribed spacer 2, and large subunit ribosomal RNA". The record is from RNAcentral.